Molecule: unclassified non-coding RNA, 245 nt
Filed under: plant metagenome
Description: partial contains small subunit ribosomal RNA and internal transcribed spacer 1
Rfam family: Eukaryotic small subunit ribosomal RNA (bases 1-46)
Source: RNAcentral
AAGUCGUAACAAGGUUUCCGUAGGUGAACCUGCGGAAGGAUCAUUAUUGAAAAUGUGUGGGUCUAAAAGCCCAUCACACUCUUCUCUAAACCAUUGUGAAUCUACCUUAUUGCUUUGACAGGUUUCCCAUUGUAAGAGAUGGGUCAGGUGGAUGGGGUCUUUAAGACUCGAUUCGCGCCGCAAACAACAUUACACCUUUCUUUUUAGUCUGACUAUAAAUUGGUCUUUGACAAAACAUAAUAAAA